GUUCGAUUAUGGCUCAGAUUGAACGCUGGCGGGAUGCUUUACACAUGCAAGUCGAACGGCAGCACGGACUUCGGUCUGGUGGCGAGUGGCGAACGGGUGAGUAAUGUAUCCGGAACGUGCCUAGUAGCGAGGGAUAACUACGCGAAAGCGUAGCUAAUACACCGCCGCCCUUCGGGGAAAGCGGGGGGACCUUCGGGCCUCACUAUUAGAGCGGCCGAUAUCGGAUUAGCUAGUUGGUGGGGUAACGGCUCGCAAGGCGACGAUCCGUAGCUGGUUUGAGAGGACGACCAGCCACACUGGGACUGAGACACGGCCCAGACUCCUACGGGAGGCAGCAGUGGGGAAUUUUGGACAAUGGGGAAACCUGAUCCAGCCAUCCGCGUGUGCACGAUGAAGGCCUUCGGGUUGUAAAGCACUUUUGGCAGGAAAGAAACGGCACGGGAUAAUACCCCGUGCAACUGACGGUACCUGCAGAAUAAGCACCGGCUAACUACGUGCCAGCAGCCGCGGUAAUACGUAGGUGCAAGCGUUAAUCGGAAUUACUGGGCGUAAAGCGUGCGCAGGCGGUUCGGAAAGAAAAGAUGUGAAAUCCCAGAGCUUAACUUUGGAACUGCAUUUUUAACUACCGAGCUAGAGUGUGUCAGAGGAGGUGGAAUUCCGCGUGUAGCAGUGAAAUGCGUAGAUAUGCAAGAGGAACACCGAUGGCGAAGGCAGCCUCCUGGGAUAACACUGACGCUCAUGCACCCGAAAAGCGUGGGGAGCAAACAGGAUUAGAUACCCUGGUAGUCCACGCCCUAAACGUCAACUAGCUGUUGGGGCCUUCGGGCCUUGGUAAAGCGCAGCUAACGCGUGAAGUUGACCGCCUGGGAAAUACGGUCGCAAGAUUAAAACUCAAAGGAAUUGACGGGGACCCGCACAAGCGGUGGAUGAUGUGGAUUAAUUCGAUGCAACGCGAAAAACCGCCUACCCUUGACAUGGAAUCCCGAAGAGAUUUGGGAGUGCUCGCAAGAGAACCGGAACACAGGUGCUGCAUGGCUGUCGUCAGCUCGUGUCGUGAGAUGUUGGGUUAAGUCCCGCAACGAGCGCAACCCUUGUCAUUAGUUGCUACGAAAGGGCACUCUAAUGAGACUGCAUAGGUGACAAACCGGAGGAAGGUGGGGAUGACGUCAAGUCCUCAUGGCCCUUAUGGGUAGGGCUUCACACGUCAUACAAUGGUCGGGACAGAGGUCGCCAACCCGCGAGGGGAGCCAAUCGAAGCGAUCGUAGUCCGGAUCGCAGUCUGCAACUCGACUGCGUGAAGUCGGAAUCGCUAGUAAUCGCGGAUCAGCAUGUCGCGGUGAAUACGUUCCCGGGUCUUGUACACACCGCCCGUCACACCAUGGGAGUGGGUUUUACCAGAAGUAGUUAGCCUAACCGUAAGGAGGGCGAUUACCACGGUAGGAUUCAUGACUGGGGUGAAGGGCGGUGUGUACAAGACCGGAACGUAUUCACCGCGACAUGCUGAUCCGCGUUCUGCUGAUUCCGGCAGACUGCGAUCAGACUACGAUCGGGUUUCUGGGAUUACCUUAUUUGACCGUGUAUGACGUGUAGCCUACCCGCUAGGGCCAUGGGGCACUUCUCCGGUUUAUUUUUUCGGCUGGGUCAUUAGGGUGCGCUCGUAGCAAUAAUGACAAGGAGUUGCGCUCGUUAUAACCCAACAUCUCACGACACAGGCAUGACGUAGCCGGGAAUUCUGCGAACUCCCUCUCUUCGGAUUCCAGGCAUGUCAAAGGGUAGAUAAGGUUUUUUCGCGUUGCAUCGAAUUAAUCAUCCACCGCCUGUGCGUGAUUGAUCGACUCCCGCAGAUUUUAUCACCCCGUUAUACUCCCAGGCGAUUCGCGCGUUAGCUGCGCUGGAACUAUGUAGUUGACAUCAGGCGUGGACUACCAGGGUAUCUAACUCUGUUUGCUUCCCCGCGCUUUUUUCGUGAAACGUCAGUGUUUGCCUUCGCCAUCGUGUUCCUCCGCAUAUCU
Molecule: unclassified non-coding RNA, 2012 nt
Filed under: uncultured Bordetella sp.
Lineage: Bacteria; Pseudomonadati; Pseudomonadota; Betaproteobacteria; Burkholderiales; Alcaligenaceae
Description: partial 16S-23S ribosomal RNA intergenic spacer
Rfam family: Bacterial small subunit ribosomal RNA (bases 1-1498)
Source: RNAcentral